Molecule: ribosomal RNA, 586 nt
Filed under: Bipolaris sorokiniana
Lineage: Eukaryota; Fungi; Ascomycota; Dothideomycetes; Pleosporales; Pleosporaceae
Description: eukaryotic LSU rRNA
Rfam family: 5.8S ribosomal RNA (bases 202-355)
Source: RNAcentral
UCCGUAGGUGAACCUGCGGAGGGAUCAUUACACAACAAAAUAUGAAGGCCUGGCUUCGCGGCCGGCUGAAAUAUUUUUUUCACCCAUGUCUUUUGCGCACUUGUUGUUUCCUGGGCGGGUUCGCCCGCCACCAGGACCAAACCAUAAACCUUUUUUUUAUGCAGUUGCAAUCAGCGUCAGUAAAAACAAUGUAAUUAUUACAACUUUCAACAACGGAUCUCUUGGUUCUGGCAUCGAUGAAGAACGCAGCGAAAUGCGAUACGUAGUGUGAAUUGCAGAAUUCAGUGAAUCAUCGAAUCUUUGAACGCACAUUGCGCCCUUUGGUAUUCCAAAGGGCAUGCCUGUUCGAGCGUCAUUUGUACCUUCAAGCUUUGCUUGGUGUUGGGCGUUUUUUGUCUCCCUCUUUCUGGGAGACUCGCCUUAAAACGAUUGGCAGCCGGCCUACUGGUUUCGGAGCGCAGCACAUAUUUUGCGCUUUGUAUCAGGAGAAAAGGACGGUAAUCCAUCAAGACUCUACAUUUUUAACUUUUGACCUCGGAUCAGGUAGGGAUACCCGCUGAACUUAAGCAUAUCAAUAAGCGGAGGA